GACGAACGCUGGCGGCGUGCUUAACACAUGCAAGUCGAACGGAAAGGCCCUGCUUUUGUGGGGUGCUCGAGUGGCGAACGGGUGAGUAACACGUGAGUAACCUGCCCUUGACUUUGGGAUAACUUCAGGAAACUGGGGCUAAUACCGGAUAGGAGCUCCUGCUGCAUGGUGGGGGUUGGAAAGUUUCGGCGGUUGGGGAUGGACUCGCGGCUUAUCAGCUUGUUGGUGGGGUAGUGGCUUACCAAGGCGUUGACGGGUAGCCGGCCUGAGAGGGUGACCGGCAACAGUGGGAAGGAGAGAAGGCCCAGAGUCGUACGGGAGGCAGCAGGGGGGAAUAGUGCACAAUGGGCGAAAGCCUGAUGCAGCAACGGCGCGUGAGGGAAGAAGGCCGGCGGGUUGUAAACCGCUUGUAGCAGGGAAGAAGCGAAAGGGACGGGAAAUGAAGAAAAAGAGACGGCUAACUACGUG
RNAcentral lists this ribosomal RNA (468 nucleotides) under uncultured bacterium. RNAcentral's name for it is "partial 16S ribosomal RNA". It matches the Rfam family "Bacterial small subunit ribosomal RNA", at positions 28 to 507 of the family's 1533-position model. The record is from RNAcentral.